AAAAGUGGGGGCUUGCUCCUGAUGUUAGCGGCGGACGGGUGAGUAACACGUGGGUAACCUGCCUGUAAGACUGGGAUAACUCCGGGAAACCGGGGCUAAUACCGGAUGCUUGUUUGAACCGCAUGGUUCAAACAUAAAAGGUGGCUUCGGCUACCACUUACAGAUGGACCCGCGGCGCAUUAGCUAGUUGGUGAGGUAACGGCUCACCAAGGCAACGAUGCGUAGCCGACCUGAGAGGGUGAUCGGCCACACUGGGACUGAGACACGGCCCAGACUCCUACGGGAGGCAGCAGUAGGGAAUCUUCCGCAAUGGACGAAAGUCUGACGGAGCAACGCCGCGUGAGUGAUGAAGGUUUUCGGAUCGUAAAGCUCUGUUGUUAGGGAAGAACAAGUACCGUUCGAAUAGGGCGGUACCUUGACGGUACCUAACCAGAAAGCCACGGCUAACUACGUGCCAGCAGCCGCGGUAAUACGUAGGUGGCAAGCGUUGUCCGGAAUUAUUGGGCGUAAAGGGCUCGCAGGCGGUUUCUUAAGUCUGAUGUGAAAGCCCCCGGCUCAACCGGGGAGGGUCAUUGGAAACUGGGGAACUUGAGUGCAGAAGAGGAGAGUGGAAUUCCACGUGUAGCGGUGAAAUGCGUAGAGAUGUGGAGGAACACCAGUGGCGAAGGCGACUCUCUGGUCUGUAACUGACGCUGAGGAGCGAAAGCGUGGGGAGCGAACAGGAUUAGAUACCCUGGUAGUCCACGCCGUAAACGAUGAGUGCUAAGUGUUAGGGGGUUUCCGCCCCUUAGUGCUGCAGCUAACGCAUUAAGCACUCCGCCUGGGGAGUACGGUCGCAAGACUGAAACUCAAAGGAAUUGACGGGGGCCCGCACAAGCGGUGGAGCAUGUGGUUUAAUUCGAAGCAACGCGAAGAACCUUACCAGGUCUUGACAUCCUCUGACAAUCCUAGAGAUAGGACGUCCCCUUCGGGGGCAGAGUGACAGGUGGUGCAUGGUUGUCGUCAGCUCGUGUCGUGAGAUGUUGGGUUAAGUCCCGCAACGAGCGCAACCCUUGAUCUUAGUUGCCAGCAUUCAGUUGGGCACUCUAAGGUGACUGCCGGUGACAAACCGGAGGAAGGUGGGGGAUGACGUCAAAUCAUCAUGCCCCUUAUGACCUGGCUACACACGUGCUACAAUGGACAGAACAAAGGGCAAGCGAAACCGCGAGGUUUAGCCAAUCCCACAAAUCUGUUCUCAGUUCGGAUCGCAGUCUGCAACUCGACUGCGUGAAGCUGGAAUCGCUAGUAAUCGCAGAUACAGCUUCGCGCCAGCGAGC
RNAcentral lists this ribosomal RNA (1316 nucleotides) under Bacillus subtilis. RNAcentral's name for it is "bacterial SSU rRNA". It matches the Rfam family "Bacterial small subunit ribosomal RNA", at positions 68 to 1367 of the family's 1533-position model. The record is from RNAcentral. Lineage: Bacteria; Bacillati; Bacillota; Bacilli; Caryophanales; Bacillaceae.